GUGCCAGCAGCCGCGGUAAUACGGAGGGGACUAGCGUUGUUCGGAAUUACUGGGCGUAAAGCGCGCGUAGGCGGAUUUGCAAGUCGGGGGUGAAAGCCCGAGGCUCAACCUCGGAACUGCCCUCGAUACUGCAAAUCUCGAGUCCGAGAGAGGUGAGUGGAAUUCCUAGUGUAGAGGUGAAAUUCGUAGAUAUUAGGAAGAACACCAGUGGCGAAGGCGGCUCACUGGCUCGGUACUGACGCUGAGGCGCGAAAGCGUGGGGAGCAAACAGGAUUAGAAACCCCCGUAGUCC
Molecule: ribosomal RNA, 292 nt
Filed under: uncultured bacterium
Lineage: Bacteria
Description: partial 16S ribosomal RNA
Rfam family: Bacterial small subunit ribosomal RNA
Source: RNAcentral